AGGGCACCACCAGGAGUGGAGCCUGCGGCUUAAUUUGACUCAACACGGGAAAACUCACCCGGCCCGGACACCGUAAGGAUUGACAGACUGAGAGCUCUUUCUUAAUUCGGUGGGUGGUGGUGCAUGGCCGUUCUUAGUUGGUGGAGCGAUUUGUCUGGUUAAUUCCGAUAACGAACGAGACUCUGGCCUAUUAAAUAGACGAUAUAUCUAUCUAGUAUAUCGCGCUUCUUAGAGGGACGAGCGGCGUCCAGCCGCAUGAAAUAGAGCAAUAACAGGUCUGUGAUGCCCUUAGAUGUCCGGGGCUGCACGCGCGCUACACUGAAAGAAUCAGCGUGCGUUUUACCUAGUUCGGAAGAACCGGGUAACCCAAGUAAAUUCUUUCGUGCUUGGGAUAGGGAAUUGCAAUUAUUUCCCUUGAACGAGGAAUUCCCAGUAAAUGCGGGUCAUAAGCUCGCGUUGAUUACGUCCCUGCCCUUUGUACACACCGCCCGUCGCUACUACCGAUUGGAUGACUUAGUG
This 519-nucleotide ribosomal RNA is filed under the name uncultured eukaryote. RNAcentral describes it as "SSU rRNA". It matches the Rfam family "Eukaryotic small subunit ribosomal RNA", at positions 1161 to 1703 of the family's 1831-position model. The record is from RNAcentral.